This 25-nucleotide transfer RNA is filed under the name Impatiens dasysperma. RNAcentral describes it as "partial tRNA-Leu". Lineage: Eukaryota; Viridiplantae; Streptophyta; Magnoliopsida; Ericales; Balsaminaceae. The record is from RNAcentral.
AAUCCGUCGACUUUAUAAAUCGUGA